UACGUAGGCAGCGAGCGUUGUUCGGAGUUACGUGGGCGUAAAGGGUGUGUAGGCGGUUGUUUAAGUUUGGUGUGAAAUCUCCCGGCUCAACUGGGAGGGUGCGCCGAAUGACUGAAUGACUAGAGUGCGGGAGAGGAGAGUGGAAUUCCUGGUGUAGCGGUGAAAUGCGUAGAUAUCAGGAGGAACACCGGCGGUGUAGACGGCUCUCUGGACCGUAACUGACGCUGAGACACGAAAGCGUGGGUAGCAAACAGG
RNAcentral lists this ribosomal RNA (255 nucleotides) under uncultured bacterium. Its description in RNAcentral is "partial 16S ribosomal RNA". It matches the Rfam family "Bacterial small subunit ribosomal RNA", at positions 524 to 776 of the family's 1533-position model. The record is from RNAcentral.